This 917-nucleotide long non-coding RNA is filed under the name Helianthus annuus (common sunflower). Its description in RNAcentral is "hypothetical non coding rna". Lineage: Eukaryota; Viridiplantae; Streptophyta; Magnoliopsida; Asterales; Asteraceae. The record is from RNAcentral.
GCCAGUUGGCCAUCGACAUCCACCUCUUCCCAGAGGUACUGGGUUCGAGUCUUGGGAGUGGCAUAUGUCGCCCAGGGUAAGAACUAGGCAUGGGGAAGUCACCGCGGAGCUAGCUUGGUCGGGUAGCGGCUCCCGGAGUGAGAUCACUUCGGCAGUUGGGAGGACCGUGCACUUACCCCCCUAGUUUUCAUAUAAAGGUGGAUAAAUCAUCAUCAAUGUGACAACCCAACCCGGACAGCUGGCUUGUUAAACGCAAGCAAGCACCAUCUAUAUCUUAUGUUGGACACCAUGUGUUGGAUUCUAGACAUCAAAGGAAACUAACCUGGUGAUUAGAGGUAAUUAGUAGCAUCAAAGCGAUUUUUUUUUUUUUUUGAACGGCUAACAAACUCAAUCCCGAGUACUCUCGGGGCACCCACUGGACAAACGGAGUACUCCGAGAGUAACCCGAGUCCACCACCAAUUCCGGGGAAAACCCGGUAACCCACCCGCCCGUAGGCACGACGGUGAAAUUACCGGUAAAACCCGUUUGGCUCAAGGAUCCAACCCAGGUUUCCCUGGGUCUCCUAUCAUUGCCCACCAAUGCCUCACUCUGCACCAAGUGGGAGUCGAACUUGCAUCUCUCAAGAGAAAUGUAAGCCCUCCACCACUUGAUCUAGAGAUCAUUGGCAGCAUCAAAGCGAUUUAGUUUUGAAAUUCGCUUUAAAAUAUGCUUCUUUUUUAGAAUAAUCAGCUAGGGUUCUUUUAUAGAAUAAUUAAUCAGUUUAUUUUAUAUAGCCUCCUUUUAUAUAAGUGUUGCCGGUAAAAGGAAAGAUUCAGGGGAGGCUAAAAUAGUGAUUCUCGAUGACUCUGCAUCCGCUGGUUCUGAUACGGGGUAUUGGAUUGAUUUUGAUAUAUUUAUGCAAAAAGGAGCUUUAAAG